AAGUCGACGAGUUCUCGUUGAUGAUCGGUGCUUGCACCGAGAUUCAACAUGGAACGAGUGGCGGACGGGUGAGUAACACGUGGGUAACCUGCCCUUAAGUGGGGGAUAACAUUUGGAAACAGAUGCUAAUACCGCAUAGAUCCAAGAACCGCAUGGUUCUUGGCUGAAAGAUGGCGUAAGCUAUCGCUUUUGGAUGGACCCGCGGCGUAUUAGCUAGUUGGUGAGGUAACGGCUCACCAAGGCGAUGAUACGUAGCCGAACUGAGAGGUUGAUCGGCCACAUUGGGACUGAGACACGGCCCAAACUCCUACGGGAGGCAGCAGUAGGGAAUCUUCCACAAUGGACGCAAGUCUGAUGGAGCAACGCCGCGUGAGUGAAGAAGGCUUUCGGGUCGUAAAACUCUGUUGUUGGAGAAGAAUGGUCGGCAGAGUAACUGUUGUCGGCGUGACGGUAUCCAACCAGAAAGCCACGGCUAACUACGUGCCAGCAGCCGCGGUAAUACGUAGGUGACAAGCGUUAUCCGGAUUUAUUGGGCGUAAAGCGAGCGCAGGCGGUUUUUUAAGUCUGAUGUGAAAGCCCUCGGCUUAACCGAGGAAGCGCAUCGGAAACUGGGAAACUUGAGUGCAGAAGAGGACAGUGGAACUCCAUGUGUAGCGGUGAAAUGCGUAGAUAUAUGGAAGAACACCAGUGGCGAAGGCGGCUGUCUGGUCUGUAACUGACGCUGAGGCUCGAAAGCAUGGGUAGCGAACAGGAUUAGAUACCCUGGUAGUCCAUGCCGUAAACGAUGAAUGCUAGGUGUUGGAGGGUUUCCGCCCUUCAGUGCCGCAGCUAACGCAUUAAGCA
This 843-nucleotide ribosomal RNA is filed under the name uncultured bacterium. RNAcentral describes it as "bacterial SSU rRNA". It matches the Rfam family "Bacterial small subunit ribosomal RNA", at positions 59 to 866 of the family's 1533-position model. The record is from RNAcentral.